AUGCUCACUUCGGCAGCACAUAUACUAAAAAUGGAACAAUACACAGAAGAUUAGCAUGACCCCUACAUAAAAAGUGUGAAGACAGCCUGGGCAAGAUUGAUAGAUUGU
Small nuclear RNA from Mesocricetus auratus (golden hamster), 108 nucleotides. The record is from Ensembl. Lineage: Eukaryota; Metazoa; Chordata; Mammalia; Rodentia; Cricetidae.